This 428-nucleotide ribosomal RNA is filed under the name uncultured bacterium. RNAcentral's name for it is "bacterial SSU rRNA". It matches the Rfam family "Bacterial small subunit ribosomal RNA", at positions 28 to 436 of the family's 1533-position model. The record is from RNAcentral.
GACGAACGCUGGCGGCGUGCCUAAUACAUGCAAGUCGAACGGUCUUUUCUAUGAAAGCUUGCUUUCACUGAAAAGAUAGUGGCGGACGGGUGAGUAACACGUGGGUAACCUGCCCAUAAGAGGGGGAUAACAUCCGGAAACGGGUGCUAAUACCGCAUAGUUUUUUUGGUCACAUGACUGAGAAAGGAAAGACGGCCUUUGUGCUGUCGCUUAUGGAUGGACCCGCGGCGUAUUAGUUAGUUGGUGAGGUAAUGGCUCACCAAGACGAUGAUACGUAGCCGACCUGAGAGGGUGAUCGGCCACAUUGGGACUGAGACACGGCCCAAACUCCUACGGGAGGCAGCAGUAGGGAAUCUUCCGCAAUGGACGAAAGUCUGACGGAGCAACGCCGCGUGAGUGAAGAAGGUUUUCGGAUCGUAAAACUCUGU